This 22-nucleotide non-coding RNA is filed under the name Arabidopsis thaliana (thale cress). The record is from RNAcentral. Lineage: Eukaryota; Viridiplantae; Streptophyta; Magnoliopsida; Brassicales; Brassicaceae.
UAAAAAUAUGAGUGUCUUUUCG